CUCAUUUUACUCUUCCACAUUCUACAGCCAGAAAAUGGCCCCGUAUCAACUCCAAAUCCUUCAUGCACCAAAAACUGGAUUAUUAGGCUCUGAACCUUUUACAGUGGGCUGCUGGAUUUAGAUUGUUUAUUACCAAGUUCCAAGAAGUAGGUGGCCAAGGAUGUCUUGUUUAGUUGUUGAACAAAAAGGUGUUUGGUUUCCAGUCUAGUACAGGAUAAUAUUCCUUGACAUUUAGCAGAUUAUAGGAAGUUAACUUUUAGUGUAUACUGGACUGUACCUAGGCAAAAGGGUCCAUAUUUUUACCCCAGUAUGGUAUUCAUUUAUGUUAACAUGAUCUAAUAAAUGUCUCAUCUAUAUACUGCUUUUUAAUGACUAAACUACCAUAUCAUUUACUUGAUUUUAUACUUAGUUUGGGAUGAUAGAGCUUUUACAUGUGGGUGACUAAGGUCACAGAGUGAAAUAAUUUACUGAAGGUCAAAAACAGUUAAGCUGAAGAAUUAAAUACAUGUCAUACCUAUUCCCAAAACUCAGCUUCCCAUCAUCUGUGGAAUCAUGUACGAUCUUUGGCAAGGCUUUGAGUUGGGCUAACAAAGUAGACUGUUUCUGAGUCUGUUUCUCACCUAUAAAAUGAGAAAUAAGAUAGGUCCAUUGUGGGAAUUAAAGUAUAUAAAGUGUAUGUCAUACAGUAGAUGCUCUCAAUAGCAAUACUGUGAUAGUCAAGGAUCAUUCGUCAUCUGUUACUAGUCAGUCCAUCCACAUGUGGUGACAACUAAGAGGAGUGAUUGUGGUGCCUUCUAUUGGUACUCAAAUGAGAAAGAGGUGGUAAGGGAAUUCAGGAUGAGAACUGAGAGGUCUUUCAGUGCAUGUGCAGACCCUGAGGCAAGCAUGAGGUGAUUCUCUGGAGAAGUCUUUGGGGCUUCCCUGGAUUGGCAGCUGUGUCAUUGUAUUUGGCUUGCUGGGAGCUGGCCUCUGUUCGUAGGGAAGCUCUUAGAUGACCUCUUCUGGCAAACAGAAAUGGUAAGGAUUUCAGUGAGAUUGAGAUAAUGAGAAUAUUUUACAGUUUAUGAGGGUGGAAUUAACAUUCAUUAUGCCAUUUUAUCUAGACAGUGGACCUGUGGUAUCCCCCAAUACAAAAAGAAACUAAGGUUCAGAGAGAGAAUGGUCUUGCCUCAAGAUCAUGUGCCUACGAUCGUAUGUCAGCCUUUUAACUCCAAACUAGUGACCUUUCCUCUGCACUAAGGAAGAACUACAAAUAGGUUUAGAGAGGAGAGCUGAGAGGAUGAGGAGUGGGACCCCCUAAAACCAUGCAGAGUCUGGGGGGAAGUCCUUGUUUUUUUUUUUCUGCAACUAAAAGCUGGAGAAGAGGCUUUAACAACACAGCAAAAACACUUCAUAGCUGGGAAAACCCUUCAAGCCUAACUGAUUCAGUACACCUGUUUUACAGAUGGGCAUACUGAAGCUCCCAGGAAAUGGGAAAAGGUGAAAGAAUUUUAGAAUGACAGCUUCUACAUUAACCACCUGCAUUAUACAAUUACCAUUUCACUGAUUUAUUUGAUCACACAUCUAUCCAUCCUAGAGGCCUUUAAUAUCCCUGAUUUUAAUCUUUCGGGGCAAAGAAGGAAGUGGCUAUGUGGUGAUGGGGGGCAAGGGUAAGAAGUGGUUUGCAAUAUGAUUUCUAUUUAAUUAUCCUAUGAAAAAUCUAAAAUUGUUCUAUAAGUUACUAAUUUUUAACCUUGGGAACAAGAAAAAAGUUUCAAUCUGCAAUACUCUCGUUAAUUCCAGGGCCAGAUGAAGGUGAAGAACAUUUGUCAUAAUGUUAUCCUAUAAACAUUCGAAAGAGAUUCCAUUGAUACAAAGCAUAAAUAUGUCCCUGUUGGGAAAGACAGGAGCAGUGUUUUCUGAUAAUAAGGAGUGUUUGUUGGAGCUACAGGAGAGGAAGCAGCUUCAGAAACACCAUUGCCAGGAGGCUCUGGCAGAAAAAAUUCAAACCCCUGCCAUGGGAAGUGGGUUACAGCCUUCACAGGACAUACAUGCUAAAAUACCAGAGUGGAAUGUUGUCCUGAUGUUUGAUGGGAUUCUCAGGGGACUGAGCAGGACAGGAUGGGUGACAAAGCUUCCCUGUGUUUCCAUGGUGAGCCUGAGGCAGGCCAGAACAAGGACCCACUUCCCAUUGACCUGUGCCCACUUCAGAAGGCAGGUGUGUUUAAAUAGGAUCCUGGGUUUCUGAAGUUGCAUACGGAAACAGUUGAAUCCCUACAAAGGCAGGCUAAGAACAAGGCAGUGCAGGGAACUGUGAACAGGGAAAGUGUGGGGAUGGGAGAGUCAUUAUGCUUGGAAUCCAUAUACAGCCAGCAACUGUCUUCCAUCCCCACAUCAGGUCGCUGGUCCUGCUCUCUAGCUGGUGAACGGCCUCAUGUAGGAUGUGGUUUUCAUCACUGGGCUCUCUGAAGGGUGCAUUUUUGCCUUGCCAUUCUCGACUUCUCGACCAAUGUUCCAGGAAAUUUUCUGGAGCAGAAAUUUAAAAAUGCAUGGGCAAGAGGAGGGAUGGAAAUUGCAGCCUUAAAACAAAUGAGAUGGGAGCCACUAACUUGUGUUCUAGCCUACUCCCACACCCCACCCAGCUUCUGGUGGGGUUUGGUCUUACCAAAGGAGAUGCACGAACUGAUGAAACAGAGGAAAUGCUGACAGGGAGGAGGCAGGAGGGGAGAGCAAAAGAAGGAGAAGUAAUGACCUGAGUACUAGCUGGAGAAGCCUUAAUGAUCCUAAAAAUUAUUGGACAGUAAUUUCAACUUUGUAACUCAUUUUGCUGUUCCAGAGAAUGAUAAAGCACCUUAAUUAUUGCUUUAAAUAACUGCAUGUCUCCAUCAAACAGCAUGAAAUAGCACCCCCGUAUGAGCGAACCUAUCCCCUGCCUUUGCUAUCUUUACAGCCUGAGAAAUCCUUAAGGAAGCAGCGGGUAGCUGCUUUUGCAUUUGGUAGACGUGUCAUCUAGUCUGGGCCCUCAGAAAGCUGGAUUACUCAGGCCUGGGAGAAAUUUGUACAGAGCACCCUUGUCCUUGAUAGUCUGAGAUCUUCAGUUGGGGCAGUCAGAAAAAUGUCACUGGAUUCACCCUCUUCACAUUGGGUGGAGGUGGGGAGGGAAGCAUUUCAAAAUUUUUAAAAGUUCUUUAUUUCUACAAUAAUUUCAACCUAUCCAAGAAGUUCUCCCUGUCCAUUGGUAUUUCAGGAUAUGAGCCCAAAGCCUUUCCAACAUGCUUUUCUGUUUACACCCAUACAGACAGUAAAAGCCAGCCAGCUCUCUCAAAGCAUGGCGAAUCUCUCUUUCCCUCCUUCCAUUGCUCAGGAGAAGCGCCUGUUUACCUGCAGAGAGCUGUGGGAAAAUAAGAGGGUUCUCAAUUCAAAUUUCUGGAGUUGGUUUCUGAGAGGGGGUCUUAUUGGAGGGAAAAAAGCUAAAUUGUAUUUUAAGAACCUAUUUCCUGCCUGCCUGUUUAGAGAAUUUUGCUCUGAUUGGUUCAUGUAUUAAAAAUGUCUUAUGUCAGUGGCUGGAGGUCCAUUCACCGUUUCUCAACACUCCUUACCACUUAACAGCGCUGCACUCAGAGAGCAAGCUUUCUAGUCAGUCUGAGAAACAGCCCACAGAGAAAGCCCGAUCUUGCCUGCCUCCUCAGAGUUGGGAUAGAGGAUGGGUCCCAUGUACAAAAGGUGUUUGUUGAAUAAAUCCUAUACCUUCCAGUGCAGUAUUCAUAGACCCUGGGCUGGGCUUCCAGUCAGACUGGGGAAUAGCUGCAAAUCUCAGAUCUCGACCUGAGUCCUAAAGCUGGUACAGAUGAGCCCUCUGCUUGCCAGCUUCUACUAAGAGGGCAUUAUGGCAGGCAUGGUGAUGCCUCAACUCCCUCCAAUUUCAGUGUGUGGCAAUUAACUAAGGAAUCUGAUUUUCACAAAAGACUAACUUUUAUUGGUGAUGGUUCCAGUUUAGCUGGGGCACCAAUCUACUUUGCAGUCUAAUAUCAUGGGGCCUCAAAAAACGCCAUCUCUUUUUAAUGCUUAUAAACAUGCAUACUUUGAAGGAAAGGAACCAUUUCCUUUCAUAUUUAUUUAUUUUCUCUAUAGUAUGAAAAAAAUAGCCUGUGAAAAAUAUUGAUAAGCUUCUUAGAGUGAUACAUUCCUUAUUUACUGACAACUUAGAAGAAGAAAUAGUUUCAAUCAAGUGAACUUUUAUCUUUCUAGACUUUAACUAAACAGAAUUAACACUAAAUUUACAUACACACACAUCCUUUCCUUUCUAUGCAUGCCUGUCCUUGGUCACUCCCGAUAGCCUAAGCCGAGAAUAGACUCUUGAAUGCUCGAAAGGACCAGAGGGCAGCAGAGCUGGUUGAUCCAUUUAUUUUGGCUGCUCUUGAAACAAAGAGAUUCUUUUGCAAAUAGGUGAGAAAUUAUUGAUAUUACUGUCUGUCUUCUUCAUUGAUAUCUAAGCAAAGUUGGUAUCUAAAUUUGGCUCCUAAGAAUGGUUGCAGUUUUGGAGGUGGAUAAAAUCCCCAGUGUCCAGUUCUCCUUCUGUGCAUAAAUACUGGUCUGUACAUGUAAGGGAUUUGAAAUCCAGUAAGCCAUUCAUGACACCUGAUCAGUUUUACCCCCGCCACAGUGCGUGGCAUGGGUAGCCCCGAAGGCAUUAUAGCCUCUGUGCACAAACUGAAGAAGAAAUUAAGGAAGUAUUGUUCUGACCCAAAAAAAAGUAUACUUCGGUUUCUUGGAGCCAUCUAAAAACUGACUGAAAGAAUCCAUCUAGUUUGAUUUUCUAUGAGGAAAUACAUGUACUUUAUUGCUAAUCCUCCUACCUUAAUGGUACUGUCUUCGUGAGCGGGCUCCAUUCCUAAUUCAUAAUGGUAUCUUUGACUUUAUAAUGACUGAUGUUCUUUCCCCACCACUGUUCACCUUUCAUAAAGUGGAAUAAAAGAUAAAACAAAUCUGCAAGUUUUCCAAAGAAGAAAGGCAACCAGAAUUACAUGGGUCCACGUAUGUGUACAUAUAUAUAGAUACAUAUGUGCACAUCCACUGGAGGUUCCACGAAUCAGAGUGAUGUUAGGGUUUUUUGGUCCUAGACACCAAUUCAAGCACAUACGACAGAGUGAGGAGGGAAUUAGAGACCACCUAUGUCACCCCCCCCCUUGUGUAUUUAAGAUAAACUAAAGCUUAGUCAUUUGUUCAAGGUCACCCAGCAUAUUCGUGGCAGGACUAAAAUUCAGACUCUUCUUUUCACUGCUGUAAUGCAUCUCCUCACAUCUGUUUUCAUUCGGGAUACCAAAUUUGGAAUAGUCUGAGAGAAGAUUUCAAGGACAUUUCUUGUGUCUUAAAGAGAUGAUUUUAUUGUCUGUUGGAUACUGUCAGCUAGAUGUGGCAGCUCCCAGUGGGCUGAUAAGUUGAAUAUGGUGGCAGAAGUUCAAGGACUCCGCAGAGGCUGGGCAAGUGGCCUAGGGAUUUCUUUGCCUCAGAGAUUCCAGACACCUCAUACGAGGAGCCCAGCUUGAAAUCUGCAGAUUCUGCUGUGAGGCAGGCAGAAUGUCUCAGAACAUUAGUUAGUUAGUACCUGCAUUUAUUCCUGGUAGAGGCUGGAGGCCUUUGUUGCCUGAUUCAUCUAGACUUCAGACAUUCUGAAUUUAGUCCAGUAAUAAAUAGAGAGAAGGUCUUACCUAAUGUUUUUGUGAAAAAUUUUUUCCGCUUAAAUAAAGUGAAUAAAGUGCUAAGGGGCUAAUAGCCUCUACAAAGACUCAUGCACCACUGUAGAAUUGAGGGUUUUCUCCCUUAAAUAAAGUGAAUAUAGUGCUAGUGAAAGGUGCUAAUAGCAGUUGCAAGACUGACAUUCUUUCUAGUCUUGAACUGGUAGUAGUUGUUCAAGUCCUUCUAUUUUUUUCCUCCAUUAGACACAUAUGUGGUAUGGAAAGGGAUGGCCUUUGAUGCAACUCCUGUCUACUUGGCUCCCAGCCCUCAAAGCUUCUUUAAGAAAAUAAUUGCAGGUUCUAUCUUAUAUCAUCCAAGGUUAGAAUACAGUUUAGCUUUCUGGUCUACACAGGCCGGAAGGGAAGGCAGUGACUCACUGACCUUGAAACAGGGAUGUAAACAGCUUUAUCAUUCAAAGCCAAAUCCUUUUUGGUCUGCAAACUGCAUUUUUGCCUGUAUCACCCUAUAUCUUGUCUUGGCCUGCGUUUUUUGGCCUCUUUAGGUAUUAGCUAUUGUGCCACAGGGAAUGGGAGGAAUUUCCCUAGGAGAAGGUACUUCAGGGAGGAGUUAGGCUCCCGGUCAUUCAUUCCUGUCCUGCCCCACAUUGGGGAUACUCUAAAGACACAAGUGAAAGCCCAGGCCUCAAACUGAUUGUCAGCUGCAUCUCACUGUCUACCUACUAUCUUGAUCCAAAGCCAAGACACUAAGGGGCAAAGGAAGGUGAAACCCCAGCACACAAGUCAUGCAUCAAGCAGGAGAGGGCCGCGGAGUGUGUGUCUGCAUUCAGGGGCACUCGUGUCGGCAGAGACUAGACAGAGGCUGCUAGAGACAGCGGCCCUGCUUAAUUCCAUGUCCCACCUUACAGAUCACCCCUCUGUGGACAUCCGUGUCCUUUAGCAGGAGCCUCCUCCCCCCAAUCCAUUUCUAGUCUCUUUCCUUUUUUAUGGAAUGCCCUAUCAUCUAUCCUGGGAUAGAUCUGGCACUUCAGAGUUAGAAGGAAAGAGAAAAUAUUUGUCUAACUUUGCUAAAUGUUAAAGCUCAACAAAGCACCAAAACAGAAAGAGGCUUAUAAAAAUAUAAUGGGGUCACCCCCCUGCCCUAAGCAUCCUUCGUGAUUUGUGGUAUAUGAAAUGUCAAAAUAUAAUGAACAGACUUUCUAAACAUGACUGUUUCUCUCCGUCCAUAUGUAUUAAAGCUCGGGCAGUCUCAGGACUACCUUACAACAGCUAAAUCUUUACUCUGCAGGACCACUACAUAACCAGUCUGUUUCAGCCCACCGAUCCCACCUUCCCAAAGAUAUACCCACUUGCAGUUCCAAAGACACUCUUCAAAAAAAUAGACAUUUGAAGAAAGUGCAUCUGUUGAGCCUCACUCUAUCUGCAUAUUAUUUCUUGAGAUUAUUACUUUUCAACCAUAAAAAAGAUUGCAUAUUGACAGUAUAAUGAAACCAUAAUGGCCAUUUCUGGGUGGUGGUGGAAGGUUGAGGUGUGGAAGCACAGAAGCAAGAGGGCUCAGAGAGGGGCAGGUGUGGGCCUUAGCCUUGGUGUGUGAGGAUUGAGGUGGGUGAUUUUGAUUCUCAGUCUUUCGGCCUCUGAACUGUCCCAUCUCUUUAGUCCCUCCCUUCUCUCCUCUCCACCUUUCCCCAUUCCCACCCCCCCAUGCCCAGGAUGCACUACCCUCUUGAAGCAGAGGCAGAAUGACUUUUUGGCAUGUGUCCACCUGGGCCAGUUUGAGAUAGGCGUGGCGUUUGGAAGGCUGUGAUACGGACAUACACCAGAGCAAGCUUAUUUGUGACUGUUUCCACUGGGAAAAAUUGUCCAUCACUUCCGUGACUUUAAAACUUUAAGCAGUUACUAUGCUGAUAGGUUAAGAAACAAAUAUUUUGUUCUUGUGGUUUUGCGUUAAUAUUAAGCAUGAAUAUAUAUCAUAUAUUACAUUGCUUUCCUUCUGCUGCGGGGCAGACUGCACUCUCUUUCCAAAUAGGAAAAUUGCACAGCCCAUGGACUCAAGCUUUUGAAAGCUGU
This is a long non-coding RNA of Manis pentadactyla (Chinese pangolin), 7739 nucleotides long. RefSeq lists it as uncharacterized. The transcript has 3 exons. The record is from RefSeq and is a predicted model, not a curated record. NCBI's taxonomy places the organism in Eukaryota, Metazoa, Chordata, Mammalia, Pholidota, Manidae.